UUAUGGUUUGCCUGGGACUGAG
This 22-nucleotide microRNA is filed under the name Macaca mulatta (Rhesus monkey). RNAcentral describes it as "mml-miR-584-5p". Its record names the gene mml-miR-584-5p. RNAcentral also lists the same sequence under 3 other names. The record is from miRBase by way of RNAcentral. Lineage: Eukaryota; Metazoa; Chordata; Mammalia; Primates; Cercopithecidae.